UUGGCGCGGCCUUUGUCUCUGGCUCAGGCCGGAGCCUGAGAUCCAUCUCUACUGUCCCGCGUGUUGCCCCUCGGGAGCACUAGGUGACUUUGUCACAUCCUCUGUUGCCCUGAGAUCUGGAGGUACUGGGAAAUGCAUAGCUAAGAUGCCAGGACAUCCUGGAAACCAGGAAAUGUUUGUCUGCAUCUUGUUAUUGGGCCACAAGAACACACAGCCAGACCCAGUUUGGUCCAGGAACAACAUCUGGCAAGCUAGCCAAGAGUCACUGAAAUGGUGCUGCACUCAGUGGCCCGUGAUUGUGGCGAGAUGGUCAUUUGGAGACUCCCAGAAGCUGCUGGAUAAGAUUGUCCUGGGGACUCUCCCAGGGGCUAUUCCAUGUGCAAAAACCACAUGUCCCUCUCACCACUGGGGAAGAAUGGUGAUCAGGCAGGAGUGGAUGCACUCAAAGGGAAAAGUCUUUCUCUAGGACCUGGAAAUGAUUGCUCGGAAAUGUAAACAGCAAAAAAGUUAGAGCCCUAUCGCACAGCUUGCUCCAAGUUUCAAAAUUACCUUCUGUCCCUCCUGGACUUGGGACCAUUAUUUUUCCUUCAGAUAUGCCAGUCAGCAACCACAGAUGGCCUCCCCAAUUACCAGACUCACUCAGACAUUGCUGCCUUCUCCAGCCUCUUUAAACUUUAAAGGCCAGCAGAGAAUGCUAUGUUUCAGGAUGGUGAUUGGUGGUUUUCACUUUGGACCAUAAGCAUCCGUAUUGUGCUCACCUGCUGCUGUGUAAGACAUGCCUACUUCUGCUUUCACCAUGAUUACAAGUUUCCUGAGACCUCCCCAGCCAUGCAGAACCACUAAGUUUCAAUUGGGAGCCAAGAUGACUGACUAGACACAGCCAGGGGAAACAACUGACAAGACACUGAGACAUUGAAAUUUCCAUCCCAUUCUGAGCCUAUCUUCAGAUGAAAUGCAUUGCAAGUGGGCAGAGGGAGGACACAGAUGCUGGAAACCCUUCAUGGUGUACCAAGUACUAGGAACUUAAGUCCACUUUUUCUGAGCCCUGCAAAACAUCAGAACUUGCUCAGGGAUUGCCAUCAUUGUGAUCUAGACUG
RNAcentral lists this long non-coding RNA (1097 nucleotides) under Homo sapiens (human). RNAcentral's name for it is "HSALNT0341272". Lineage: Eukaryota; Metazoa; Chordata; Mammalia; Primates; Hominidae. The record is from RNAcentral.